AGUCGAGCGGAGAUGAGGUGCUUGCACCUUAUCUUAGCGGCGGACGGGUGAGUAAUGCUUAGGAAUCUGCCUAUUAGUGGGGGACAACAUUCCGAAAGGGAUGCUAAUACCGCAUACGUCCUACGGGAGAAAGCAGGGGAUCUUCGGACCUUGCGCUAAUAGAUGAGCCUAAGUCGGAUUAGCUAGUUGGUGGGGUAAAGGCCUACCAAGGCGACGAUCUGUAGCGGGUCUGAGAGGAUGAUCCGCCACACUGGGACUGAGACACGGCCCAGACUCCUACGGGAGGCAGCAGUGGGGAAUAUUGGACAAUGGGGGGAACCCUGAUCCAGCCAUGCCGCGUGUGUGAAGAAGGCCUUAUGGUUGUAAAGCACUUUAAGCGAGGAGGAGGCUACUGAGACUAAUACUCUUGGAUAGUGGACGUUACUCGCAGAAUAAGCACCGGCUAACUCUGUGCCAGCAGCCGCGGUAAUACAGAGGGUGCGAGCGUUAAUCGGAUUUACUGGGCGUAAAGCGUGCGUAGGCGGCUUUUUAAGUCGGAUGUGAAAUCCCCGAGCUUAACUUGGGAAUUGCAUUCGAUACUGGGAAGCUAGAGUAUGGGAGAGGAUGGUAGAAUUCCAGGUGUAGCGGUGAAAUGCGUAGAGAUCUGGAGGAAUACCGAUGGCGAAGGCAGCCAUCUGGCCUAAUACUGACGCUGAGGUACGAAAGCAUGGGGAGCAAACAGGAUUAGAUACCCUGGUAGUCCAUGCCGUAAACGAUGUCUACUAGCCGUUGGGGCCUUUGAGGCUUUAGUGGCGCAGCUAACGCGAUAAGUAGACCGCCUGGGGAGUACGGUCGCAAGACUAAAACUCAAAUGAAU
Molecule: ribosomal RNA, 856 nt
Filed under: uncultured bacterium
Lineage: Bacteria
Description: bacterial SSU rRNA
Rfam family: Bacterial small subunit ribosomal RNA
Source: RNAcentral